This 255-nucleotide ribosomal RNA is filed under the name uncultured bacterium. RNAcentral's name for it is "partial 16S ribosomal RNA". It matches the Rfam family "Bacterial small subunit ribosomal RNA", at positions 99 to 354 of the family's 1533-position model. The record is from RNAcentral.
CGCACGGGUGAGUAACACGUAUCCAACCUGCCGUCUACUCUUGGACAGCCUUCUGAAAGGAAGAUUAAUACAAGAUGGCAUCAUGAGUCCGCAUGUUCACAUGAUUAAAGGUAUUCCGGUAGACGAUGGGGAUGCGUUCCAUUAGAUAGUAGGCGGGGUAACGGCCCACCUAGUCUUCGAUGGAUAGGGGUUCUGAGAGGAAGGCCCCCCACACUGGGACUGAGACACGGCCCAGACUCCUACGGGAGGCAGCAG